GAGCGACUCGAUAGGGGAAUUAAAUGUUCACAAGUUGGUAGGCAUCAAGAUCGAGUCACCAAGUGCAUAAAUCUAUUCUAGACUCGUUUCGAGAAAAACGGGAGGCGGCUCAAAAAUGAUCUAUCAUGCAUCCUAUUCACCCUCAAGUAGCAAUACUACGCUAAACAUGCAUCCAAUUCAUCCAUAAUUUUAAGUUUAAGAGGGAAUUUCAAAUGUUGAAAGACAAGGAUUCAAUCAAGCAAUCAACUGAAAUACUAGCAUCCUAAUUCAUUCCCUAAACCACAACAUU
RNAcentral lists this long non-coding RNA (289 nucleotides) under Linum usitatissimum (flax). RNAcentral describes it as "long non-coding RNA (LUSI_LNC004279)". Lineage: Eukaryota; Viridiplantae; Streptophyta; Magnoliopsida; Malpighiales; Linaceae. The record is from RNAcentral.